RNAcentral lists this ribosomal RNA (848 nucleotides) under uncultured Bacillota bacterium. RNAcentral's name for it is "bacterial SSU rRNA". It matches the Rfam family "Bacterial small subunit ribosomal RNA", at positions 548 to 1397 of the family's 1533-position model. The record is from RNAcentral. Lineage: Bacteria; Bacillati; Bacillota.
GAUUUAUUGGGCGUAAAGCGAGCGCAGGCGGUUGCUUAGGUCUGAUGUGAAAGCCUUCGGCUUAACCGAAGAAGUGCAUCGGAAACCGGGCGACUUGAGUGCAGAAGAGGACAGUGGAACUCCAUGUGUAGCGGUGGAAUGCGUAGAUAUAUGGAAGAACACCAGUGGCGAAGGCGGCUGUCUGGUCUGCAACUGACACUGAGGCUCGAAAGCAUGGGUAGCGAACAGGAUUAGAUACCCUGGUAGUCCAUGCCGUAAACGAUGAGUGCUAGGUGUUGGAGGGUUUCCGCCCUUCAGUGCCGGAGCUAACGCAUUAAGCACUCCGCCUGGGGAGUACGACCGCAAGGUUGAAACUCAAAGGAAUUGACGGGGGCCCGCACAAGCGGUGGAGCAUGUGGUUUAAUUCGAAGCUACGCGAAGAACCUUACCAGGUCUUGACAUCUUGCGCUAACCUUAGAGAUAAGGCGUUCCCUUCGGGGACGCAAUGACAGGUGGUGCAUGGUCGUCGUCAGCUCGUGUCGUGAGAUGUUGGGUUAAGUCCCGCAACGAGCGCAACCCUUGUUACUAGUUGCCAGCAUUAAGUUGGGCACUCUAGUGAGACUGCCGGUGACAAACCGGAGGAAGGUGGGGACGACGUCAGAUCAUCAUGCCCCUUAUGACCUGGGCUACACACGUGCUACAAUGGACGGUACAACGAGUCGCAAGCUCGCGAGAGUAAGCUAAUCUCUUAAAGCCGUUCUCAGUUCGGACUGUAGGCUGCAACUCGCCUACACGAAGUCGGAAUCGCUAGUAAUCGCGGAUCAGCAUGCCGCGGUGAUACGUUCCCGGGCUUUGCACACACCGCCCGU